GUGAACGCUGGCGGUAGGCCUAACACAUGCCAGUCGCACGGCAGCACAGUAAGAGCUUGCUCUUACGGGUGGCGAGUGGCGGACGGGUGAGGAAUACAUCGGAAUCUACUUUUUCGUGGGGGAUAAUGUAGGGAAACUUACGCUAAUACCGCAUACGACCUACGGGUGAAAGCAGGGGAUCUUCGGACCUUGCGCGAUUGAAUGAGCCGAUGUCGGAUUAGCUAGUUGGCGGGGUAAAGGCCCACCAAGGCGACGAUCCGUAGCUGGUCUGAGAGGAUGAUCAGCCACACUGGAACUGAGACACGGUCCAGACUCCUACGGGAGGCAGCAGUGGGGAAUAUUGGACAAUGGGCGCAAGCCUGAUCCAGCCAUACCGCGUGGGUGAAGAAGGCCUUCGGGUUGUAAAGCCCUUUUGUUGGGAAAGAAAAGCAGCAGGUUAAUACCCCGCUGUUCUGACGGUACCCAAAGAAUAAGCACCGGCUAACUUCGUG
This 491-nucleotide ribosomal RNA is filed under the name uncultured bacterium. Its description in RNAcentral is "partial 16S ribosomal RNA". It matches the Rfam family "Bacterial small subunit ribosomal RNA", at positions 29 to 507 of the family's 1533-position model. The record is from RNAcentral.